RNAcentral lists this ribosomal RNA (439 nucleotides) under uncultured bacterium. Its description in RNAcentral is "partial 16S ribosomal RNA". It matches the Rfam family "Bacterial small subunit ribosomal RNA", at positions 339 to 795 of the family's 1533-position model. The record is from RNAcentral.
CUACGGGAGGCUCCAGUGAGGAAUAUUGCACAAUGGGGGGAACCCUGAUGCAGCAACGCCGCGUGGAGGAUGACGCAUUUCGGUGUGUAAACUCCUUUUAUAUGUCAAGAAAAUGACGGUAGCAUAUGAAUAAGCACCGGCUAACUCCGUGCCAGCAGCCGCGGUAAUACGGAGGGUGCAAGCGUUACUCGGAAUCACUGGGCGUAAAGUGCGCGUAGGCGGGUUGGAAAGUCAGGUGUGAAAUCCUACAGCUUAACUGUAGAACUGCACUUGAAACUUCUAAUCUAGAGUAUGGGAGGGGGAGAUGGAAUUAGUGGUGUAGGGGUAAAAUCCGUAGAUAUCACUAGGAAUACCUAAAGCGAAGGUGAUCUCCUGGAACAUUACUGACGCUAAGGCGUGAAAGCGUGGGGAGCAAACAGGAUUAGAUACCCGUGUAGUC